UGUUAGUGGCAGACGGGUGAGUAAUGCGUAGGAAUCUACCUAGUAGUACGGAAUAGCCAUUAGAAAUGGUGGGUAAUACUGUAUAAUCCCCGAGGGGGAAAGAUUUAUCGCUAUUAGAUGAGCCUACGUUAGAUUAGCUAGUUGGUGAGGUAAUGGCUUACCAAGGCUAUGAUCUAUAGCUGGUCUGAGAGGACGAUCAGCCACACUGGAACUGAGAUACGGUCCAGACUCCUACGGGAGGCAGCAGUGGGGAAUAUUGGACAAUGGGCGAAAGCCUGAUCCAGCUAUGCCGCGUGAGUGAAGAAGGCCUUCGGGUUGUAAAACUCUUUCAAUAGGGAAGAUAAUGACGGUACCUAUAA
Molecule: ribosomal RNA, 359 nt
Filed under: Ehrlichia canis
Lineage: Bacteria; Pseudomonadati; Pseudomonadota; Alphaproteobacteria; Rickettsiales; Anaplasmataceae
Description: bacterial SSU rRNA
Rfam family: Bacterial small subunit ribosomal RNA
Source: RNAcentral